CACAACCGAGCACACCAUCACCACCUUAAACAUCCUCAUCUUCUUCAUUACAUUGUCCAUUCAAAGCCUAGAAAUCAUCCAUGGAAGGUGCAACUUGAAGGGAUUUCAAGGGAGCAUUGUUCUUGCUUGGUUCUACAUCUUUUUCUCGUCAUUUUUACACAAGAUUCUUCCCUAGCUAGAGGCUAGUAGUAAGUUUCUUCAUACUUGAUCUCAUCUUGUUCGAAAUAUUGACAUAUCGCAUGAAGUAUUAUCAUGAGCGGACGCGGAGGACGUAUCAACCUUACUCAAGCCCAGUUGACGGCUCUGAUCAACGAACGAGUUGCUGAGGCACUCGCAGCUGUUCCUGCAGGAGGUAUAACCUGCUACUUCGACCUAUCUUAGGAUGUUUAGAUUUUACCUUCGCAAACCUACCCUCGUGCUUAACCUUGUCAUUUAUUCUCGCACCACAGGUCAACAUGCUCAGCC
Molecule: long non-coding RNA, 465 nt
Filed under: Helianthus annuus (common sunflower)
Lineage: Eukaryota; Viridiplantae; Streptophyta; Magnoliopsida; Asterales; Asteraceae
Source: RNAcentral